GCAGUUUUACUCCUGGUAAAUAGAAAAACAAGGGAAUCAACUUAUGUAACCUUCAAACCGCAGGAGCAAAGCGCAGGGGAACACAGUGGUCAGACUACAUUAGGAAGUGGUUAGCAAAGCCUUGGACAUCCACACAGUACAAAGUAUUGAAUGCCUGCUCUACUAUCUCCCACUCGACCUCCCAGUUUCACUGGAUCAUUAAAGUCAACAGCCUUCAGAUGUUACUGCCCUGGAAGUGGAUUUUGCCCAUCUUAAUACAAAAGUAACGCUCCAGACAUGGUGGAAGAAGAAAACUGUACAGUAUUUGACCUGUGCUCUAAAGUCAUGCAUCUGCAGCCAUAAGACUAGAAGAUCUGAUUAUUGCCAGCCAUCUAACAAAAGAAGAAUAUGCCUGAAUACCCAAAUCUGUAUUUAGGCACAUCAAUUAAAUAGCCUGAUUUUCAGAGGAACUGAGAUUUUCGGAAGAGCUCAGAGCACUCAGCUCCUCUGCAAAUCAGGCCACUUAAUUCUGUGCCUAAAUAUGGAUUUGUUAUUCAAAUUAAAAAUACUGGCCACAGCACUCUGAAAGCAGUCACUCCCAUAAUCACUUUAUAAUAAAUUACUCUCAGUAUUAGUCACACUUUGGUUAAUACACAUAGCAUUUCUUUUAUAUGGUGUUAAAAAUUUAUAACUUUCUAUAUUAAACAUCUGCAGAACCAUAGUAUGACAACUAUUCCUUUAGAAAAAUGAUCAAUAGUUCUCUUAUAAUUCUGAAGCACCUUCAUCCUGCCAAAACAAUAGAUUAACUUACCAG
Caretta caretta (loggerhead turtle) is the source of this 793-nucleotide long non-coding RNA. RefSeq lists it as uncharacterized. Lineage: Eukaryota; Metazoa; Chordata; Testudines; Cheloniidae. The record is from RefSeq and is a predicted model, not a curated record.